Girardinichthys multiradiatus is the source of this 418-nucleotide long non-coding RNA. RefSeq lists it as uncharacterized. The record is from RefSeq and is a predicted model, not a curated record. Lineage: Eukaryota; Metazoa; Chordata; Actinopteri; Cyprinodontiformes; Goodeidae. The transcript has 2 exons.
CUGCUGAGUCUGCUGCCCCCCGCGACCUGGUCCCGGAUAAAGCGGAAGACGACGAGUACGAGAGGCUGCAGACUUGAAACAACGAUGCUCUGAGACUCACAAAGAGAAAAGAAUCACAACUAGCAAGAUCUAAGUACUGUGAGAAGCAAGCACCACUGGCCUUUUUGGCACGAUCUCCAGUCCUGUUGGUGCCAAAACCCCGGAGAGACUUAUAAACAUUUUAGAAAAGUCAGACUUUAAACAGCUUCUUAUUCAGCUUCUCCUUCUAGCCUUAGAAGUACUUGUAGAGUGCUUUUUAUUUCUUUUUACUGUAAUCAAUAAGAAACAGUGCAAAUAAUACAAAGAAUAAUUUUAUGUUUAACUAAAACCUGCUGGUUUCUCUUGUUAACUCAAGUGUAUAUUAAAUCUGAGAAAUAUA